RNAcentral lists this ribosomal RNA (468 nucleotides) under uncultured bacterium. RNAcentral describes it as "partial 16S ribosomal RNA". It matches the Rfam family "Bacterial small subunit ribosomal RNA", at positions 28 to 507 of the family's 1533-position model. The record is from RNAcentral.
GACGAACGCUGGCGGCGGGCUUAACACAUGCAAGUCGAACGGAAAGGCCCUGCUUUUGUGGGGUGCUCGAGUGCCGAACGGGUGAGUAACACGUGAGUAACCUGCCCUUGACUUUGGGAUAACUUCAGGAAACUGGGGCUAAUACCGGAUAGGAGCUCCUGCUGCAUGGUGGGGGUGGGAAAGUUUCGGCGGUUGGGGAUGGACUCGCGGCUUAUCAGCUUGUUGGUGGGGUAGUGGCUUACCAAGGCUUUGACGGGUAGCCGGCCCGAGAGGGUGACCGGCGACAUUGGGACUGAGAGACGGACCAGACUCCUACGGGAGGCAGCAGUGGCGAAUCUUGCACAAUGGGAGGAAGCCUGAUGAAGCAACGCCGCGUGCGGGAUGACGGCCUUUGGGUUGUAAACCGCUUUCGCCUGUGACGAAGCGUGAGUGACGGUAAUGGGUAAAGAAGCACCGGCUAACUACGUG